Molecule: ribosomal RNA, 400 nt
Filed under: uncultured bacterium
Lineage: Bacteria
Description: bacterial SSU rRNA
Rfam family: Bacterial small subunit ribosomal RNA
Source: RNAcentral
GACGGGUGAGUAACACGUGGUCAACCUACCUCAGCGUGGGGGAUAACUAGCCGAAAGGUUAGCUAAUACCGCAUACGAUCGCUAAGUGGCAUCACAUGGCGAUGAAAGGAGCAAUCCGCGCAGAGAGGGGACUGCGUCCCAUUAGUUAGUUGGUGGGGUAAUGGCCUACCAAGACUCCGAUGGGUAGCUGGCUUGAGAGAGCGACCAGCCACACUGGAACUGAGACACGGUCCAGACUCCUACGGGAGGCAGCAGUGAGGAAUUUUCCGCAAUGGGCGAAAGCCUGACGGAGCGACGCCGCGUGUGGGAAGAAGGCCUUCGGGUCGUAAACCACUGUCGAGGGGGACGAUAUUGACGGUACCCCUGGAGGAAGCCCCGGCUAACUACGUGCCAGCACCGC